GGCAGUGUAGCGUAGUGGUAAGGAGCAGGGCUCAUAAUCUAAUGGUUGCUGGUUCAAUUCCAUCCAGGGGCA
This 72-nucleotide transfer RNA is filed under the name Megalops atlanticus (tarpon). RNAcentral's name for it is "tRNA-OTHER". Lineage: Eukaryota; Metazoa; Chordata; Actinopteri; Elopiformes; Megalopidae. The record is from RNAcentral.